AGAGUUUGAUCCUGGCUCAGGAUGAACGCUGGCGGCGUGCUUAACACAUGCAAGUCGAACGAAGCGAUUUGGCGGAAGUUUUCGGAUGGAAGCUAGAUUGACUGAGUGGCGGACGGGUGAGUAACGCGUGGGUAACCUGCCUCACACUGGGGGACAACAGUUAGAAAUGACUGCUAAUACCGCAUAAGCGCACAGGACCGCAUGGUCCGGUGUGAAAAACUCCGGUGGUGUGAGAUGGACCCGCGUUUGGUUAGCUAGUUGGUGGGGUAACGGCCUACCAAGGCGACGAUCAAUAGCCGACCUGAGAGGGUGACCGGCCACAUUGGGACUGAGACACGGCCCAAACUCCUACGGGAGGCAGCAGUGGGGAAUAUUGCACAAUGGGGGAAACCCUGAUGCAGCGACGCCGCGUGAGUGAAGAAGUAUUUCGGUAUGUAAAGCUCUAUCAGCAGGGAAGAAAAUGACGGUACCUGACUAAGAAGCCCCGGCUAACUACGUGCCAGCAGCCGCGGUAAUACGUAGGGGGCAAGCGUUAUCCGGAUUUACUGGGUGUAAAGGGAGCGUAGACGGUAAAGCAAGUCUGAAGUGAAAGCCCGGGGCUCAACCCCGGGACUGCUUUGGAAACUGUUUAACUAGAGUGCUGGAGAGGUAAGCGGAAUUCCUAGUGUAGCGGUGAAAUGCGUAGAUAUUAGGAGGAACACCAGUGGCGAAGGCGGCCUACUGGGCUUUAACUGACGCUGAGGCACGAAAGUGUGGGUAGCAAACAGGAUUAGAUACCCUGGUAGUCCACACUGUAAACGAUGAUUACUAGGUGUGGGGGGUCUAACCCCCUCCGUGCCGGAGUUAACACAAUAAGUAAUCCACCUGGGGAGUACGACCGCAAGGUUGAAACUCAAAGGAAUUGACGGGGGCCCGCACAAGCAGUGGAGUAUGUGGUUUAAUUCGACGCAACGCGAAGAACCUUACUAGGUCUUGACAUCCAACUAACGAAGCAGAGAUGCAUUAGGUGCCCUUCGGGGAAAGUUGAGACAGGUGGUGCAUGGUUGUCGUCAGCUCGUGUCGUGAGAUGUUGGGUUAAGUCCCGCAACGAGCGCAACCCUUAUCCUAAGUAGCCAGCGGUUUGGCCGGGCACUCUUGGGAGACUGCCAGGGAUAACCUGGAGGAAGGUGGGGAUGACGUCAAAUCAUCAUGCCCCUUAUGAUUUGGGCUACACACGUGCUACAAUGGCGUAAACAAAGAGAAGCGAGACCGCGAGGUGGAGCAAAUCUCAAAAAUAACGUCUCAGUUCGGACUGCAGGCUGCAACUCGCCUGCACGAAGCUGGAAUCGCUAGUAAUCGCGAAUCAGAAUGUCGCGGUGAAUACGUUCCCGGGUCUUGCACACACCGCCCGUCA
This 1393-nucleotide ribosomal RNA is filed under the name uncultured bacterium. RNAcentral describes it as "16S ribosomal RNA". It matches the Rfam family "Bacterial small subunit ribosomal RNA". The record is from RNAcentral.